AUGUGGGCGUCGUCGUGGUCGUGGGGGUGGGGGUGGGGGUGGGGCGCCGCCGUGCUGGUGGGCGCGGCGUGCCUGUGCGCGCACGCGGCGGCGGAGGCGCUGUGGCUGCGGCCCCGGCGCCUGGAGCGGCACUUCGCGGAGCAGGGCGUGCGCGGGCCCGGGUACAGCUUCUUCGUGGGCAGCUCCAUCGAGCUGGUGAGGCUGAUGCUGGACGCGUCGUCCCGCCCCAUGGCGCCGCCGGGCUCCCACGACAUCCUCCCCCGCGUCCUCGCCUUCUACCACCAUUGGAGGAAACUCUACGGCCCGAAGCAUCUGAUCUGGUUCGGGACCAAGGCGAGGCUGACGAUCAGCGCGCCGGAGCUGGUACGGGAGGUGCUGCUAACGCGGGCGGAGCACUUCGACCGGUACGAGGCGCACCCGCUCAUCUGCCAGUUCGAGGGCUACGGCCUCGGCAACCUCCGGGGCGACCAGUGGGGGCGCCACCGCCGCGUCCUCUCCCCGGCCUUCCACACCGAGAACCUCAAGCCGCUCGUGCCCUUCAUCGCCGCCACCAUGCGCCGGAUGCUCGACGAGCUCGCGGCCAAGGCCGUCGGCAAUGGCGCCGGUGGCGAGGCGGAAGUGGACGUGGCCGAGUGGUUCCAGCGCGUGCCGCAGGAGGUGAUCACGUUCGCCACCUUCGGGCGCCGGAACUACGAGGACGGCAGGGUGGUCUUCGAGCUCCAGGACGAGCUCGCCGGCCUCGCCGCCGACGCGCACAGCAAGGUCUACAUCCCCGGGUACCGCUUCCUGCCGCUGAGGAGGAACCUGCGCGUGUGGCACCUGGUCAGGGAGAUCCGGAAGGGCCUGGCCGCCUUCAUCGCCAACCUGCCCAAGGAUGGUCAAGGUCACGGCGACGAGCCGCGGCGGGACGGCGGCGGCGGCAUGAGGGACCUGAUGAGCUUCAUGACGCCGGCCAUGACGACCGAGGAGAUCAUCGAGGAGAGCAAGAACUUCUUCUUCGCCGGGAAGGAGACGCUCGUCAGCCUCCUCACCUGGGCCACCGUCGCCCUCGCCAUGCACCCGGAGUGGCAGGACCGCGCCCGCCAGGAGGUCCUCGCCGUCGUCGGCCGCGACGACCUCCCCACCAAAGACCACCUCCCCAAGCUCAAAACCGUGGGGAUGAUCGUGAACGAGACGCUGAGGCUGUACCCGCCGGCGGUGGCGAUGAUCCGGACGGCGAACCGGGACGUGGAGCUGGGCGGGUGCGUGGUGCCGGCGGGCACGGAGCUCCUCAUCCCGAUCCUGGCGGUGCACCACGACGAGGAGCACUGGGGCGCCGACGCGACGGAGUUUAACCCGGCGCGGUUCGGCGACGACCGGCGGCCGCGGCACCAGAUGGCGUUCAUGCCGUUCGGCGGCGGCGAGCGGGUGUGCAUCGGCCAGAACCUGGCGCUGAUCGAGGCCAAGGUGGCGCUGGCCGUCGUGCUGCAGCGGUUCGCCUUCCGCCUGUCGCCGGCGUACGUGCACGCGCCCAGGGUGCUCAUGAUACUCAACCCGCAGUACGGCGCGCCGGUCAUCUUCCGGCCGCUGUGA
Molecule: ribosomal RNA, 1572 nt
Filed under: Triticum aestivum (bread wheat)
Lineage: Eukaryota; Viridiplantae; Streptophyta; Magnoliopsida; Poales; Poaceae
Description: partial small subunit ribosomal RNA
Source: RNAcentral